RNAcentral lists this ribosomal RNA (482 nucleotides) under uncultured bacterium. RNAcentral's name for it is "partial 16S ribosomal RNA". It matches the Rfam family "Bacterial small subunit ribosomal RNA", at positions 30 to 507 of the family's 1533-position model. The record is from RNAcentral.
AUUGAACGCUGGCGGCAUGCCUUACACAUGCAAAUCGAACGGUAACGGGCCUUCGGGUGCCGACGAGUGGCGAACGGGUGAGUAAUACAUCGGAACGUGCCCGAUCGUGGGGGAUAACGAGGCGAAAGCUUUGCUAAUACCGCAUACGAUCUACGGAUGAAAGCAGGGGACCGCAAGGCCUUGCGCGGACGGAGCGGCCGAUGGCAGAUUAGGUAGUUGGUGGGAUAAAAGCUUACCAAGCCGACGAUCUGUAGCUGGUCUGAGAGGAUGAUCAGCCACACUGGGACUGAGACACGGCCCAGACUCCUACGGGAGGCGGCAGUGGGGAAUUUUGGACAAUGGGCGCAAGCCUGAUCCAGCCAUGCCGCGUGCAGGAUGAAGGCCUUCGGGUUGUAAACUGAUUUUGUACGGAACGAAAAGCCUUCUUUUAAUACAGGAGGGUCAUGACGGUACCGGAAGAAUAAGCACCGGCUAACUACGUG